This 268-nucleotide small nucleolar RNA is filed under the name Carlito syrichta (Philippine tarsier). RNAcentral's name for it is "Small Cajal body specific RNA 6 (ENSTSYG00000025005.2)". It matches the Rfam family "Small Cajal body specific RNA 6". From Rfam's summary of the family: U88 is small Cajal body specific RNA (scaRNA). scaRNAs are a novel class of small nuclear RNAs which localise to the Cajal bodies. The record is from Rfam by way of RNAcentral. Lineage: Eukaryota; Metazoa; Chordata; Mammalia; Primates; Tarsiidae.
GGUCAAUGAUGAAUAGUAAAAGGUCUGACACCCCAGAUCCCCUCCCUGCAUCUCACCUUAUCCCCAGCUGCCUCUCCUCAUCAGGCUCUAGGAGUGCUGUGAUGAGCAGAAGGGUAGCUGACACUCUGUGAUGUCCCCAUUCUGUGUUCCUUGGCAAGCUCAAGGAAGAUGCUGUGGUUGGCAUCCAACAACUUAUUCACACAGGGGUUUUUGAUUGUUUGGGAGUGCUGGUAUCUGUGGCUAUGAUCUGACUUUUCAAGCUGAGACC